GCCGAGAUGGUGAAAUUGGUAGACACGCUAGCAUGAGGUGCUAGUGCUUUAUGUGUGAGGGUUCAAAUCCCUCUCUCGGCA
RNAcentral lists this transfer RNA (81 nucleotides) under Candidatus Photodesmus katoptron Akat1. It matches the Rfam family "tRNA". Rfam says of the family: Transfer RNA (tRNA) molecules are approximately 80 nucleotides in length. Their secondary structure includes four short double-helical elements and three loops (D, anti-codon, and T loops). The record is from Rfam by way of RNAcentral. Lineage: Bacteria; Pseudomonadati; Pseudomonadota; Gammaproteobacteria; Vibrionales; Vibrionaceae.